GACAUACUAAGAACUUUCCAGAGAUGGAUUGGUGCCUUCGGGAACUUAGAUACAGGUGCUGCAUGGCUGUCGUCAGCUCGUGUCGUGAGAUGUUGGGUUAAGUCCCGNAACGAGCGCAACCCUUUUCCUAUUUGCCAGCGGGUCAUGCCGGGAACUUUAAGGAUACUGCCAGUGACAAACUGGAGGAAGGCGGGGACGACGUCAAGUCAUCAUGGCCCUUACGGCCAGGGCUACACACGUGCUACAAUGGUCGGUACAAAGGGUUGCUACCUCGCGAGAGGAUGCUAAUCUCAAAAAGCCGAUCGUAGUCCGGAUCGCAGUCUGCAACUCGACUGCGUGAAGUCGGAAUCGCUAGUAAUCGCGGAUCAGAAUGCCGCGGUGAAUACGUUCCCGGGCCUUGUACACACCGCCCGUCACACCAUGGGAGUUUGUUGCACCAGAAGUAGGUAGUCUAACCGCAAGGAGGACGCUUACCACGGUGUGGCCGAUGACUGGGGUGAAGUCGUAACAAGGUAAGCGUAGAUGA
RNAcentral lists this ribosomal RNA (526 nucleotides) under uncultured bacterium. RNAcentral describes it as "bacterial SSU rRNA". It matches the Rfam family "Bacterial small subunit ribosomal RNA", at positions 983 to 1509 of the family's 1533-position model. The record is from RNAcentral.